This 254-nucleotide ribosomal RNA is filed under the name uncultured bacterium. RNAcentral's name for it is "partial 16S ribosomal RNA". It matches the Rfam family "Bacterial small subunit ribosomal RNA", at positions 524 to 777 of the family's 1533-position model. The record is from RNAcentral.
UACGAAGGGGGCUAGCGUUGCUCGGAAUCACUGGGCGUAAAGGGUGCGUAGGCGGGUCUUUAAGUCAGGGGUGAAAUCCUGGAGCUCAACUCCAGAACUGCCUUUGAUACUGAAGAUCUUGAGUUCGGGAGAGGUGAGUGGAACUGCGAGUGUAGAGGUGAAAUUCGUAGAUAUCGCAAGAACACCAGUGGCGAAGGCGGCUCACUGGCCCCGAUACUGACGCUGAGGCACGAAAGCGUGGGGAGCAAACAGGG